AGGGUGCUGCCUCCCUAUCCACUGGGAGUCCUUUUGCGUUUCAGAUGCUCCCAGGCUCUCCCGCAGUUUAAAGACUUAACUCAGCGGCUUUCAGGGCCUGUGGUUGAGGGACUCCGAAAGAACUGUUGCUGGUGGACCGGUUCAGGGUCUUGACUUCGCCACACAAAAGAACUUGAGAGCACGUCCAAAGUAAAGCUAAGACCUCUAGUACAGUGUUCAAUGGAACUGGUGAGAAAAGACGUCCUUGCUGUGUUCCUGAUAUGAAGAGGAAAGCAGUCCUUCUCCAUUAAGUAAAAUGCUGACAACAUGAGCCUCCCGUGGUCGGAACGGGCUUGUGAAGGCGGUGCUGGGGUGCACCAGGGCAGCAGCUACAGCUACAACUCAAAUCCCAGGAACACAGGAUUGCAGUGACCUACAUAAUUUGGGCUCAAAUACCUUCAAGGCAUUCCGAAGAGACAGAGAACACCAGAACAAGGGAGAAUUGGAGUGGAGGUGGAUGCUGAAAUUCCAGUAUAAAAAUCUACUCUGGCUGAGGAAUAAGACAAAAUAAGAAAUGCAAUAUAGUCGCUACUCAGGAAUUUUGACUGAGGUUGGACAUUGUUUAGAAAUGGGAACAAGUUUGAAGGAUAGGAUGGAGGGAAGGAAAAUAUUUUUUAUUGCUUCCAAUAUAGUGGCUUUCAUAAAGCUGAAAGUCUCCCCUGGAAGAAGACCUCAGGGGCCCUUUCCUGAACAGGUGAGAAUGGUUUGUAAUUAACAUAUUAAUUGGUAGGUGCUUCUGAAAUGCUGGAGGAUGCUUGAGAAAGGACUUGAGUAGUUCCAGCAUUACCUUUUCCAAAUUGUUCUUGUCAUAAAUUGACUCAGCCAACCCUCUUCUUUAUACAAAGGUUAACUUCCCGUCCAGCAGGUGUGGGUUAUCACAGUCUACAUGUGGCAGUUUCUGUAUAAUAUUUGCCUCUGGGUGCCCCUGUGAAAACAGCUAAAAAUAGGGACUUUUGGAGAGAGAAGUCUAUCGGGACAGCUAAGGACUGCAGGUGACCUUGAAGCCAUGAGGAUAAGUCCCCGCUUUUUGGAAGAGGCAGCCGGAACCUGUUAGACUGCUACUGAAGCUCGGUACGUUAUCUAUACCGGCAUCUAACUGCUGCCAGCCACUAAGAAAUGUUUUCUUGCUACAAACAAAAAAUAAAAAGAAAAAUAACAUUAUCUGCA
This 1206-nucleotide long non-coding RNA is filed under the name Homo sapiens (human). RNAcentral's name for it is "MIR646 host gene". The record is from RNAcentral. Lineage: Eukaryota; Metazoa; Chordata; Mammalia; Primates; Hominidae.